This 2507-nucleotide ribosomal RNA is filed under the name Elphidiella groenlandica. RNAcentral describes it as "partial small subunit ribosomal RNA". The stretch from base 288 to 2507 matches the Rfam family "Eukaryotic small subunit ribosomal RNA". The record is from RNAcentral. Lineage: Eukaryota; Foraminifera; Rotaliida; Elphidiidae.
UACAGUCACACUUGUCUUGACUUGAUACACACUACACACGAAUUUUAAUACACAACGGAUAACUCAGGGAAAGUUUGGCUAAUACGUACGAGUUAUUAUAAAACACACACACAAACGAUUUAAUUUUCUCAGCAUUCAAUGGAAGUUUUUUUUCAAAAACACACACAUGAAAGACAUUGAAUACGCAAUAUAUAUUCUCACGAAUGUAUAUACGCUGAGCAGACUUUAUUUUUAUACUUUAUUGUAUAUUUAAAGCAUGUCAUACAAGCAUCUAAAGCAUCAAGUCACACCGUUGGCAAGUGUAUUUUUGAACCUUCAAAGCAGUCACGCAUACGGAAGAGUAGUUUCUGAUCCCAUAGAAGGAGCACAGUACAAUGAGAGACCGCUCUUAGUUCUAAGGAACGCAGCAGGCGCGUAAAUUGCCCAAUGAUAGAACAUUUUUUAAUUUAUUUAAACAACACACGAACGACACACACACACAAAAAAAACAUAUCCUUGUUUACUAUAUAUCUCUUUACUGAGGCAGUGACAAGCUGUAAAGGUUGAGUAUUUUAUUAAUGACAAGUGCUUAGCAUUGCCGCCUGGUUCGCUAGGCUUGGCAUUUUUGCUAGCGCUUUGUAUGCUCAAUUUGAAUGCGGUGAGUUUAAGCAACUCAGAACCUUUGUAACGUGAUUUACUUUGUUGUAUUUCAUGUUCAUGUAUCUGAAUUUUUCAAGUGGAGGGCAAGUCUGGUGCCAGCAGCCGCGGUAAUACCAGCUCCACUGGCCUAUACAAUCAUUGUUGCGGUUAGGAGGCUCGUAGUUGGAUUGAACAACAUAACAUAUAUAUAUAUAUAUUUAUUAUACUACACACACACACACAAAACAAAAAAAAAAUAAUAAUAUACUGUAUAUWUUUUUUCAACACUGUGAACAAAUCAGAGUGUAUCAAACAUGUAUUUUUUUAAAAUGCGCAUUGAAUGUCUUAUCAUGGAAUGUUGCCUUUACAAUAAUUUACAUAUAUACACAAAACACACACACAACACAGAUGUCGAUGGGGAUAGUUGGAGUCAACAGUACUGCAGGGCGAGCGGUGAGAUGCAUUGACCCUUGMAAGACUACCAGAAGCGAAUCAUUUGCAUUUAUUUUUUUUAUGCAAACUCUCUCUCAACCCGCAAAAAAAUUUUAUUUAUUUAUAUAGCUUGAGCUCUUUGUGGCUCGCUAUGUAUUGAUAAUAUAUUUAUGCACGGUCUUAUGACUGACGUUUCAUAAUUUGAUAAUAUUUUUUUAUUGUCACACAUGCAUGUAAGCAAAACAUUUUUUUACUAAAAUGUUAACCUACAUAUGAUUUUCGAUACUUUGCGCUCAAAUAAUUUACUGGUGAGAUGUAAGCGUUAUACCGUAAUUAUUUUAUUUACACGUAUUUAACUUCGGUUAUUUUAUCGUUGUAAUAUUAAUUUUUACAUUUAUAUAAAUAAUAUAUAAUGUGAUGCACGCGUUAGGUACAAGCUUACUGCAGAAAUGUCUAAGACAUUCCCCUCCGGGGGUAGUAUGCACGCAAGUGUGAAACUUGAAGGAAUUGACGGAAGGGCACCACAAGAACGCGUGGAGCAUGUGGCUUAAUUUGACUCAACGCGGGAAAUCUUACCGGGUCCGGACACACUGAGGAUUGACAGAUAUAUGCAUAUAUAUUGCUUUCGGGCAGUAUAUGUGUGAAAGAUGCUAGUUCUUUCAUGAUUAUGUGAUAGGUGGUGCAUGGCCGUUCUUAGUUCGUGGAGUGAUCUGUCUGCUUAAUUGCGUUUCACUUUUAUAGAGAUAUUUAAAACGUAUAUAUUUAUAUUUAUUUAUUUGUUUUAUGCAUAAAUUAUCUCUCAGUUGAAAGCAACGAACGUGACCGUUGUCUUUUGUUGUCUAUAUCCCUUUAUAAAUAGACUUUUUUUUAAUAAACAAAACUAAAGAGACCGCUGUAUUUUCUUUUAAACCAGAGGAAGGUAACGGCAAUAACAGGUCUGUGAUGCCCUUAGAUGUUCCGGGCUGCACACGUGCUACAAUAAUUAUUGCAGUGAGCAUCUCAUAUUUUUUUACACUGUUUUAAAUUCUAACAGCGUUAUACUCUUUCGGGGGUAUGCUGUUCUGUCUUGAAUUUACAGUAAAGCCUACAUCGAGAGUUUUCUUUUACGUGGGUAAUCAAUUAGAAGUAAUGAAUUUCCUAUUUUUGUAUAUUUUAUGCAGUAUUUUAUAUCCACUUGUAUUUUCAUACAAGACUGCGUAUAUAUUAUAUUUUUUGCACAUACAAUUGUCAAUUUAUAGUGGGGACAGACCAUUGUUAAUUGUUGGUCUCGGUCUUAACUAGGAAUGCCUUGUACGGGUCUUUGGUUCAACAAACCACCCGGAAUACGUCCCUGCCCUUUGUACACACCGCCCGUCGCUCUUACCGAUGAACUUCUCUGUGAGUUUCAGGGACCGUCCUCUUUAUAGGAAACUUAAACGAACAGUGUGGUUUAAAGGAAAGAGAAGUCGAACAAGGCA